ACGGCGGGUUGCAUGGCUGUCGGUAUCCUCCCGUCAAACGGAGGAGGCUGAGGAAGUUCCGCCCACCAUUUGCGAAAGCAAACACAUAGAUGCGCAAGCAUCCCCGCCUAAGGCGGGAGCGCGGAACAGAAACGAAACCGCUUCGGGAGCAGGAUGACGAACAGGACUUUCCCAGAAGAACGGAUGAAACGCGCCGCGCUUGGUGCAAGUUCGAAGCCUUCGGGCCGAGGACGCUAAGUCGAAUGCCAUGGACAACAGAAGGCGGGCUACGGACUCGCCGU
This 281-nucleotide RNase P RNA is filed under the name Candidatus Micrarchaeota archaeon CG08_land_8_20_14_0_20_59_11. RNAcentral's name for it is "RNase P RNA component". It matches the Rfam family "Archaeal RNase P". From Rfam's summary of the family: Ribonuclease P (RNase P) is a ubiquitous endoribonuclease, found in archaea, bacteria and eukarya as well as chloroplasts and mitochondria. Its best characterised activity is the generation of mature 5'-ends of tRNAs by cleaving the 5'-leader elements of precursor-tRNAs. The record is from RNAcentral. Lineage: Archaea; Nanobdellati; Microcaldota.